AGUGAACGCUGGCGGUAGGCCUAACACAUGCAAGUCGAACGGCAGCACAGGAGAGCUUGCUCUCUGGGUGGCGAGUGGCGGACGGGUGAGGAAUACAUCGGAAUCUACCCUGUCGUGGGGGAUAACGUAGGGAAACUUACGCUAAUACCGCAUACGACCUACGGGUGAAAGCAGGGGAUCUUCGGACCUUGCGCGAUUGAAUGAGCCGAUGUCGGAUUAGCUAGUUGGCGGGGGAAAGGCCCACCAAGGCGACGAUCCGUGGCUGGUCUGAGAGGAUGAUCAGCCACACUGGAACUGAGACACGGUCCAGACUCCUACGGGAGGCAGCAGUGGGGAAUAUUGGACGAUGGGCGCAAGCCUGAUCCAGCCAUACCGCGUGGGUGAAGAAGGCCUUCGGGUUGUAAAGCCCUUUUGUUGGGAAAGAAAUCCAGCUGGCUAAUACCCGGUUGGGAUGACGGUACCCAAAGAAUAAGCACCGGCUAACUUCGUGCCAGCCGCCGCCGUAA
RNAcentral lists this ribosomal RNA (506 nucleotides) under uncultured bacterium. Its description in RNAcentral is "partial 16S ribosomal RNA". It matches the Rfam family "Bacterial small subunit ribosomal RNA", at positions 29 to 523 of the family's 1533-position model. The record is from RNAcentral.